UUAGGAGACAAAACUCCUCUUGUAGAGAUCGUCUACGAGUUUAACGGGUUGGUGAACCUAAAAUCACCCGUCACGCCUACGAAAAGGAGCCUAGGAAUCGCAUCUAGUUUUCUUAGUUUAUUUUCUUUUCUUUUGAUUUUUACUCGAGGACGAGCAAAAGAUAGGUAUGGGGAAGUUUGAUUAGUCCAUAUUUUUGCAUAUUUAAGUGCCUAUUUUUUGUUUAUUUUCGUAGUAUUAAUCGCUUAUUUAUUUUAUUUCAGGAAAUUGUAGAUAAAUAAAGAAAGAAGAGAAAAUGCAAGAAAAAGAAGAGAAGGGAAAAGAAAAGAAGAAAGAAAAAGGGUUGGCAAGUAGGACACAUGGAUGGCCACAAUUCUCCCAACACUCAAGGCACAUGGAUGGUCAAGAUGGAGCCACCCUACCCCUAAACCCUAAUUCUUUAGUUAUAAAUACCCCUCUUCUUUUACUUGUAAUCACCAACCUAGCAACCUAGUAACCUAGCCACCU
RNAcentral lists this long non-coding RNA (504 nucleotides) under Daucus carota (carrot). Its description in RNAcentral is "long non-coding RNA (DCAR_LNC006629)". The record is from RNAcentral. Lineage: Eukaryota; Viridiplantae; Streptophyta; Magnoliopsida; Apiales; Apiaceae.